UUACGUUCAAUACGUUCAAAUUACGAUUUCAACGUUCAAUACGUUCAAAUUACGAUUUCAACGUCCAAUACGUUGAACUUACGUUUUCAACGUUCAAUACGUCGAAUUUACGAUUUGAACGUUUAAAACGUUGAAUCUACGACUUAAAUUUCGACUCGGGAAUACACGCCGG
Cotesia glomerata is the source of this 172-nucleotide long non-coding RNA. RefSeq lists it as uncharacterized. The record is from RefSeq and is a predicted model, not a curated record. Lineage: Eukaryota; Metazoa; Arthropoda; Insecta; Hymenoptera; Braconidae. The transcript has 3 exons.